UCUCCGUAGGUGAACCUGCGGAGGGAUCAUUGCAGAGUUCUCGCCCUCGCGGGUAGAUCUCCCACCCACUGUUAUCGUUACUGUGUUGCUUUGGCGGGCCGCCGGGCCCCGCUCGGCCGCCGGCUCCGGCUGGCGCGCGCCCGCCAGAGGCCCAGCAAACUCUGAAUGUUAGUGUCGUCUGAGUACUAUAUAAUAGUUAAAACUUUCAACAACGGAUCUCUUGGUUCUG
RNAcentral lists this unclassified non-coding RNA (229 nucleotides) under plant metagenome. RNAcentral describes it as "partial contains small subunit ribosomal RNA, internal transcribed spacer 1, and 5.8S ribosomal RNA". The record is from RNAcentral.